GGUUUGAUUAUGGCUCAGGUCAGACAUGGCGGAUGCUUUACACAUGCAAGUCGAACGGCAGCACGGACUUCGGUCUGGUGGCGAAGUGGCGAACGGGUGAGUAAUGUAUCAGGGCGCAAUUACCCGCAGUAGCGGGGGAUAACUACGCCGAAAGCGUAGCAGCUAAUAUACAUUCCCUUCGGGGGAAAGCGGGGGACCUUCGGGCCUCGCACUAUUAGAGCGGCCGAUAUCGGAUUAGCUAGUUGGUGGAGUAACGGCUCACCAAGGCGACGAUCCGUAGCUGGUUUGAGAGGACGACCAGCCACACUGGGACGGACACGGCCCAGACUCCUACGGGAGGCAGCAGUGGGGAAUUUUGGACAAUGGAAAUUUACCGGUCCGGCUGUGUCCGUGUGCGAUGAAGGCCUUCGGGUUUGUAAAAGGCACUUUUUGGCAGGAAAGAAACGGCACGGGAUAAUACCCCGAUACAGCUGACGGUACCUGCAGAAUAAGCACCGGCUAACUACGUGCAGCAGCCGCGGUAAUACGUAGGGUGCAAGCGUUAAUCGGAAUUACUGGGCGUAAAGCGUGCCAGGCGGUUCGGAAGAAAGAUGUGAAAUCCGGAGCUUAACUUUGGAAACCAGAGUGCCAACUACCGAGCUAGAGUGUGUCAGAAAGGGGUGGGAUUCGCAAAGCAGGUGGGAGUGGUAAAAUCUCUGGAAGGACUUUGCGUACAAUGUUUGAAGGUGGCAUGUGGGAUCUUUCUGGCGCUCAUGCACGAAAGCGUGGGAGCAAACGGGAUUGAAUAUGGUAGUCCACGCCACUAACGAUAUCAACUAGCUGUUGGGGCCUUCGGGCCUUGGUGGCGCAAUUAAAGUUGACCGCCUGGGGAAGUACGGUCGCAAAGAUUAAAACUCAAAGGAAUUGACAGGGACCGCACAAGCGGUGGAUGAUGUGGAUUAAUUCGAUGCAACGCGAAAAACCUUACCUACCCUUGACAUGUCUGGAAUCCCGGUUGGGAGUGCUCGCAAGAACCGGAACACAGGUGCUGCAUGGCUGUCGUCAGCUCGUGUCGUGAGAUCUGGCUGAUUGCGAUCGCAACGAAGCGCCAACGCUGUCAUUAGUUGCUACGAAGGGCGCUCUAAUGAGACUGCCAUUAAACCGGAGGAAGGUGGGGAUGACGUCAAGUCUCCCAUGGCCCUUAUGGGUGGGGCCCGCGUCCAUACAAUGGUCGGGACAGAGGGUCGCCGGCCGCGAGGGGAAUGAUCCAGAAACCCGAUCGUAGUCCGGAUCAUGAUCUGCAACUCGACCGUGAAGUCAGGAUCGCUAGUAAUCGCGGAUCAGCAUGUCGCGGUGAAUACGUUUCCCGGAGUCAUGUACACACCGCCGUCCCUUCGCCUUCGGAACGGUUUUGCCAAGUAGUUAGCCCUAACUGGCAGGAGGGCGGUGCCACGGUAGGAUUCAUAGGCGCAGGGAUGAAGUCGUAACUCACGGGUAA
RNAcentral lists this ribosomal RNA (1477 nucleotides) under uncultured Bordetella sp. Its description in RNAcentral is "partial 16S-23S ribosomal RNA intergenic spacer". It matches the Rfam family "Bacterial small subunit ribosomal RNA". Lineage: Bacteria; Pseudomonadati; Pseudomonadota; Betaproteobacteria; Burkholderiales; Alcaligenaceae. The record is from RNAcentral.